AAGGCUUUAGCUUAAUUAGAGUGUUUGAGUUGCAUUCAAAAGGUGUGGGAUAAAGUCCUGCAAGUCUUA
Molecule: transfer RNA, 69 nt
Filed under: Salminus brasiliensis (dorado)
Lineage: Eukaryota; Metazoa; Chordata; Actinopteri; Characiformes; Bryconidae
Description: tRNA-Ala
Rfam family: tRNA
About the family: Transfer RNA (tRNA) molecules are approximately 80 nucleotides in length. Their secondary structure includes four short double-helical elements and three loops (D, anti-codon, and T loops).
Source: RNAcentral